This 449-nucleotide ribosomal RNA is filed under the name uncultured bacterium. RNAcentral's name for it is "partial 16S ribosomal RNA". It matches the Rfam family "Bacterial small subunit ribosomal RNA", at positions 29 to 523 of the family's 1533-position model. The record is from RNAcentral.
AACGAACGCUGGCGGUAUGCCUAACACAUGCAAGUCGAACGAGAUCUUCGGGUCUAGUGGCGCACGGGUGCGUAACGCGUGGGAAUCUGCCCUUUGGUUCGGAAUCACAGUUGGAAACGACUGCUAAUACCGGAUGAUGACGAAAGUCCAAAGAUUUAUAGCCAGAGGAUGAGCCCGCGUAGGAUUAGCUAGUUGGUGUGGUAAAGGCGCACCAAGGCGACGAUCCUUAGCUGGUCUGAGAGGAUGAUCAGCCACACUGGGACUGAGACACGGCCCAGACUCCGACGGGAGGCAGCAGUGGGGAAUAUUGGACAAUGGGCGAAAGCCUGAUCCAGCAAUGCCGCGUGAGUGAUGAAGGCCUUAGGGUUGUAAAGCUCUUUUACCCGGGAUGAUAAUGACAGUACCGGGAGAAUAAGCUCCGGCUAACUCCGUGCCAGCCGCCGCCGUAA